UUGGCUAUGGGUCUGUCAUAUAUGGCUUGUAUCAUUUUUAGGGAACAAAAUCUCCGCCAGAACUGAUGGACUGAGCCCCUGGAUUGUCAAAGGAGGCUCACAAACAAAUAUCUACCUUUCUUAGAGGACAGUGAGAAAAGGAGAGCCUUCCCAGCUGGCCUCCCAGAGAACACAACAGAAGAUCUGGCCAGUGACCCCAAGUUUCUACACACAGUGCUUUCUUCCAAGCCUGCCUCUGAAGGGCUCCCUCAAGGAGGUCCAUGGAUUCCUCAAUCACAGGGGAGUGUACCCUGCUGUCUAAUGCUGAAGAAGAUGAAAAAACUGAAAGAAAAGGAUAGCUGUGAGUUUUCUGGCUUGACUACAUAUCCAUCCAGCUCAAGCAGAAAGCCCAUGAGAUUAAAUGAGAAGUUAAAACUGGGGAAAUCUCACAACUCAUCAUCACCAGGCUGACUGAUGCCUGAGAAGGGAAGACCAGAGCAGUCUUCCCAAAUUGACUGAGGGCUGGAAAGUUCCCAGAAAGUUCAUCAGAGACUUCAUAGGAUUCAGGUGUUGAAUGACUCCUCCCCCAAGCAGACUGGAGCUAGGGAUCACAGUUCAUUAAUUCACUGAAAAAUAAAUUGAUAUUUCUUGAAAGUUUGAAACUAUGCACUAAAAUUUCAACCAUUAUUAUCUCAUAAUAAGUCUGUUCCUCCAUAUCUUUUUGAAUUGUGUUAAUACUUGAUAUGCUACAGAUUUGGAGUUGUGGGUUAAUGUGCACCACUUUACUGGUGUUUGUAUUAUUUUCUUCUUUAUUUUCAGCAAAUUUUUCUUUCUUGCCUUUUGUUAUUAUUUUACUUGUCAAAUGAGAGACUGUGGCUGCAAUAUUUUCACUGUGGAUUUUACAUUUUACUACAUUUAUAUUACAUUACUACAUUUACUAAUAUAAAAUAACUUUACUUCUUUAAUGCCUUAAACUUUACUUUGCUUGUUCUUGCCUG
Molecule: non-coding RNA, 977 nt
Organism: Microcebus murinus (gray mouse lemur)
Lineage: Eukaryota; Metazoa; Chordata; Mammalia; Primates; Cheirogaleidae
Source: RefSeq, a predicted model, not a curated record